RNAcentral lists this long non-coding RNA (5828 nucleotides) under Lactuca sativa (garden lettuce). Its description in RNAcentral is "long non-coding RNA (LSAT_LNC002341)". The record is from RNAcentral. Lineage: Eukaryota; Viridiplantae; Streptophyta; Magnoliopsida; Asterales; Asteraceae.
UUAAUUUAGGCAAGAUGGUUUAAGGUUUUAAAACCCUGGGUGGCCACAUAAACCAUUGUUAAACACCACCAUCAAACAACAUGUCACACACCUUUUCCAUCUUCUCCCUCUGUUUCUCUAAAAUCGUUGGUUGAUCAUCCUCUCACCCAUCUUCACCACAUCGAACCUACCUAAAUCGAAGCCAAUCAAUUAGUUCUCCCAAAAUCGGAAGAUGAAAAUAGAUUUGGAUUUAUACUGAGAACAAAUCUAACUUUGUAGAGUCUAAAGGAAUUGAAAGAGAUGGAGCAAAUAACUCCUUGAGUCAACACUAUUACUGCUAAAACUCCCAAAUGUCUGCAACAAUUACUCAAUGGAACCGUAAGCUUUGAAGGACGUUUUCUCUUUGCUUGAGUAAGUUUUCCUUUUUAUCAUGUAAUUUAUUCUUAAACAUACAGUUUAACACUUCUGAUAUUGAAUUUAGUGUAAAACUUGGGCAAAAUCUAUAGUUAGAAGAACUAAUUGUUCGCAUGGGAAGUAAUCUUUUACAUCUCUCAAUAAAGUAUCUUUCAUGGAUAGUUUAUAUGUAAUUGCUUUUAUUCGUUCAUUCACUGAUAUGUAUCUAUUUUGUGGAUUUUUUUCUUUUUCUUUUUGUGAUGAAUUAUGUGCUUCUGUUCGUCUGUUUUAAAUUAAUGUGUAUAUAAAAGUUAUGAUGAUAUUAGUUAGUAAUAUUCAUUGAUUUUCUUUAUUCACAAUUUGAUGAAAUUAGUUAAUAAUCUUUCUUUAUUCACAAUUUGAUGAAAUUAGUUAAUAAUCUUCACUUAUUUUAUUUAUGAACAAUUUGGCAAUUCGUAAUUUAUAUGUGAUGAAUGAUCAAUAGUGUAAUUUGGAAUUUCUAUAUUGUUUAUAUAUGUAGAAAUUAUAAAACCGAUUAUCUAGAGCUAAAGUUUAUAAUACUUUUUUCCUUUAUAUAUAUGAACAAUUUUUAAUACCUUUUAUGUUUAUACGACAACCAUUAUUGGCAUUGAUCACUGUUAUAUUUUCCAUUGACGAUUGACAAUUAAGUUUAUAAAGUUUGAAGUUUAUAUUCAGGUGAUAAUCAGUGGUUAAUUAUUCGUAUAGGUAUAAUUUAGCUUUCUAAUCGUUUUUUCAUUGUAGUCUUGGCAAAAAAAAUAUAUAAUGCAGGUUGAACUUCUGUAAAAUAUUGGAUUUCAACUAGAAUUUGUUUCGCAUUUUUACGGAAUAUGAAAUCAAUAAUACGAAAUCAAAAACACAUGUUUUAUGACUCAUAGUUAUUCAUCAUCUUUUAGAUUGUUUGACCUUUUAUUAUAAUUUUUUUCAAACCUUUAUACAAGAUGUUCAGUAUAGUUUAUCUUUCAAAAUAAUAGGUAAUUAAAUUGCUACCACUUGCUCAUUAAGUAAAAUGAUUUUCAUGGAUGAUAUGCACUAUAUAUCAAUUUAUGACAGAACCAAUGCUACCUUUUUUUUCUUUUUUUUCUAAAUUUGAGCAUAUGGUCGGUUCUUCUUUUGUUUUUUUUUUCGUCAAAGAUCAAUUCCUACAGUAAUAUAAUUGGACUUUGAUCCGCUGGAUCCAUUUUAAAAUAUAAUAGUCAAAAUGGGAUGUCAUCUCAUGGACCUCAAAUGAUUAUGUAGUUAGUUUCACACCAAAUUCAAUAUUUAAUUUGUUCUUCUCAUAAACAUUAUGUAGUUUUAAUUUAGCUUUUUUAAAUCGUUUCACCUGGUGGAUCUUUCUUUUCAGCUUUGAUUAUCUAUUAUAUAUAAGUUAAAUAAUAGGUGUUUGUGGAAACGUCUAGAAGAAAAAUUGACCAUGUGGUAUGAGAAACAUCAAAAAAUAUGGUCCCAAAAAUUUCGUUUUAUAAUAGGUAAAAAUAUUGUUUUCAAACAUCAUUCGUACAUCUCAUAAAAACAAUGUAUCCAAUGUAUCAAAAUCAGAGUAAAUAUAAAACGCGGAAUCUCUGUGGUAUGUGCGAUGCGGUCUGCCCGAGCUCUUCCCCUUGGAACCGGAAGUACCUGACACAUAAACAGAAAACCGUAAGCACAAAGCUUAGUAAAUUUCCCCAAGAUACCAUAUACCAUCAUAUCACAUAACGGGCCCUGCCCAUACUCAUAAAACGUGCCCCGCCCAAUGAGAUAUAGGCCUCGCCCACAUUCGCAAUACGGACCCCGCCGAAAGAGAUACAUGCCCUGCCCACACUCGCAAUACGGUCCCUGCCUAAUAAGCAUACAUAUAAGCACAUACAAUUAUUACACAGUCAACGAGUAUAUCGACAUAAUCAACAAGGGUCGGCAUUGGUGCCUUAGAUCCGCUAAACCUGGUGAGGAAAACUCACCUCAAAUAUGGAAUGAUAGCUGAACAGAUCCCGACUCCAAAUAUCAACUCUAAUCAACCCCUAAACAGAAAAGAUUUCCUUAAAUACAACUCAAAAUGCCCAAAAGCCCCUUAUAGGUCAACCUUGGUCAAAGUGUAAGUCAACGGCCCGAGUUGACCCAACUCGCCGAGUUGUCCUUCAACUCGCCGAGUUUCACCAUUAGUCUGCAAAGUCGGGAAGAAACUGAUCCAACUCGUCGAGUUCAUUUGUAAACUCAUCGAGUUCGCCAGAAAUCCAACAUCUUAAUUCAUUAAGUCGACCUUACCGAAACUAAGAGCUUCACAACUCAGAUCUAUAACUGAAAUAGCCUCAAGAAGGGUAAAGUUUCCAACUUUACACCUAAGAACCACCAAAAUGGGUUCAAAACCCAAACCCUAGGAUUAAAAGGGUGAUGGCUUAAUCAUUAAGCACUUAAUCACCAAAUGCAUAACCCCAAACUACAGAUCUAACCCUAAAACCUGAAAGGCUAUGUAAAGUUUCCAACUUUACACUCAUGCAUGACUAGCAGAGGCUCAAAUGCUCAAAAGAGGCCGAAAUAAGGACUUAAUGAAAGCAUGAAGCCCUUAAGACCAUAAAGUUGGCACCUUAAUGCCAAAAGAGCUCAUCAACAUCUUAGAUCUGAAAGGAUAACAUUUGGGAUGUCCUACACCCCCAUCAUCCACCUAUAACAUCCCAUCUUUCAAGUGACUUCAAAAUCAACCCUUGGAUUUUAAUUACGUCAUUUUUGGUCCUUGGUUUGGAAAGAAGUGACAAAGGGAGGACCUAGUGGCAAAAUGGUGAUGUUGGGAACUUGAGUAGUAUGUUGGGCGUAUAUGUGAGUACGCUAAGUGUCUUAGGGCGUGCCCUAGUACGCUGGUUGUACACAUAUGUAUGUUGGGCGUACAAGUGCCAGGGUGAAACCCUAACUUUUAGGGUUUGUUGAGUAUUUAAGCAUCUUAUGGAUCGUUUCCUCUCAUCUUUUCUAGCCUCCAAGUCUUUGAACCGUUCUUAGCAAGCCCUAGUACAUAAGAGAGAGUUUUGGAGCCUAAAGUGUGUUGUUGGUGUGAGUGAAUGAGAAGAAAGAGCAUCAAGGAGUCAAGGAAUGAAUCAAGCUUGUAGAUAUGGGGUUAUCACCAUCUUGGAAAGCUUUAGAAGGUAUAAAGCUUCUACCUUUAUGCUUGAUUGUGUAGAUUUUGGUUUUAUUACUUUUUAGCAUUCUUCUUGUCCCAAGAGUCCCAAUAUUGUGCAUGCUUUGUUUUGGGCAAGUUAAGUUGUUCUUUCAGACCCAAGGAUGGGGCCUAAGGCAUAAAAAUGAGGUCCCUUGAGCUAGUUUGGUCCCUAGUUCUUUGUAGGAGGUCUUAAUGGAUUAAGACCAUGUAUUAAGCCCUUUUUGGUCGAACAAAGUCUUAAAGUUUGAGACUUUAUGGUUAUAGAGUGUUAUUGAAUCAUGAAUUUGAAGUUUGAGCUCAAGUGCUUAAUCCAUUAAGCACUUAUGGAAGUUAUAAGACAUGCGAGGGUACGCCUCACGUAAGUUGUUGUACGCCUUACGUUCGGAGUCAAACCCCCAUAAUGGGUCAAUGCGAGGUGAGGUACGCCCAACGUACCGAAGGGUACUCCCCACGUACGCCUCCUGUUGGGCUUCGGACUGUGGGCUUCUAGUAUUGGGCCAUCUGUUGGACUUUGAUACUUAGGACCUAAAGGUUUAUCAGGAUGGGUGUGUCUUGGGCCAAGUAGAGGAUCGGACCUUUGGAUAAGGCCCAAUAAGGAGUUGGGACCAAUUUGGAAAAUUAGGCCAAGUGUGGGCUUGAAGUGGUUUGGGCCUUUGGAUCAAGAUUUGGGUUUCGCUUGCAUUGGUUUGUGAUGGACCAUCUGGGAUUUUAUGGUUUGGGCUUUUAGCUUGUUGGAUCUUCUUGAGUGAAGGCCAUAAGGCCUAAUUUGGAAAAUUGGGCCAUAAUUGGACUUAAGGAGUUUAUUUUGAUAUUGGACCUUUUGUCAUCUAGUUUGGGCCUUGGCUUUGGGCCAAGCUUGAGGAAUAGUAAAAAGGUAUUUUACCCUGAUUUGGACUCAUUGUAUGAGUUAGCAACUAGAUAUUGAUGAUUGUCAUUUUGGUAUCUGCUAGCGGAUCUGCAGUUAGAGACUAUUCACAUAAUCAUCUAUUAUUGUGGUGCUCUCUCGAUGAUGAUGGUUCAGAAUCUGGCAGUCAGCGGUCAGGGAUCGUCUGUGUGUUUUGGAAGCGCGAUGGGAGUUUUUCUCACAGUACUAACAGGGUCCAAGGCACCAAUGUCAGCCAUUUGGAUUGUUAUCUUGGUUUAUCGUAUGCUUGUAUGUUGUGGUGAUGUGUUAGGUCGGUAUCCUUCUGACAGGAUGAUGCUAUGCUUAGUGAUAUGUUAGAUAUGCCUUAGUAUGGUUGGGUUGAGACUGUAUUGCUUUGUACUGCCAGUCAACAAACCCGAAAAUGUUUAUGUUGGUACAUUAUAUGUAUGCUUAUCUGUUAUAUGUCGACAUGUCUUGUGUGUGUGGUUGGGUCGAGGCGGACCUACUUUGUGCUGAAGGCCAACAUACCUAGGGCGGCCCGGAUAGACUGAAGGCCCAUUGGGGCGUACCAGUCAGGCCGAAGGCCCGUAGAACGGUCCAGACAGGAUGAAGUCCUAGCAAGGCGGACUAGACGUGUUGAAGGUUCUGAGAGCAGCCCAGACAGGUUGAAGGCCCGGUAAGGUGGUCCAGAUAUGCUGAAGGAUUUGAUAGUGGUCCAGAUAGGUUGAAGGCCCGGUGAGGCGGUCCAGUCAUGCUGAAGACUCUAUAUGCAUGUUGUUAUUUGUAUGUGUGCUACUAUUUGUGUGUUCGUACUUUGGGGGAACUCACUAAGCUUUUUGCUUACGGUUUCAGUUUAUUGUUUCAGGUGCUUCAAAUGUUUUAACAAGGCGAAGGCGUGACCAUACACAUCCUCGCGUUUUGGACUUAUAGUUUCUGGGAAACUCUGAUGAUGUGCUUGUUUUGAAAACUACGUAUAAAUGAUUUCGGUUUUAAAUAAAUGUUUUGGAAACCACGGUUUUGUAAACACUUCUAUAGAAAAAGGAUUGUUUUGGAAAGUUUAAAUUUUAUCGACCCUUGGUUUGAGUGAAUUGGAGGAACACUCGUGUGAAUCCAGUCUCAAACCAAGGAAAAAGGGUUCUCAAAAAAAAUUUCAAAUGGUUUUCAAAAUAAUCAAAGAGGAUGCGAUGUGUGCGAUCAGUCGGAGCCAGUAAGUAGACCCCAAUUAUCACACAAUUAUUUGAGCUUAUGAUAUGUUAGAACAGCAUGCCAGCAAUAGGCUAGGGAUCUUCAGGAAUUGCAUGGUAGAAUUUCCUGAUUAUGUGAUGCCUUAGUUCAUUUAGAGUUUUCUUGUUUGGAUUAUCUAUGACUCUUUCGCGUGUGAAUUGGCUACUGAGUGGAUACACUAAGUCACAUGUCGCAUGGUUUAAAGUAUCUUAGGCUAAGAGGUUU